GUUUAAAUCGCUAGAGGGACUUCUUUUCAGAACCCCAGAUGAAAGCUAGAAUCAGAUAACUUAAACAAGAGCUAACAAUACAACACAUUUUCAGUAGAAUGACAAAACAGAGAAAAAAUAAUAUUGUGGAAGGGAACACAGAGGAGAGAGAGGGAGACCGACAGAGAGAGGUUAGUGCCAGGGAGACACAUUCGCAGAUAUUGCUUCUUAUAAUCUUUCCUCUUUGGGAUAACCUUCCUGUCGCAUUUUAACUCAUUCCAAAGUGAAUGCUGUCUUGCCUAGAUUUGGAUCUAGAGGAAUGUUAAAACAAACAAACAAAAAAAGACUUCCUUAAAAUAAAACCAAAACAGGUUAUUUGGUUCUGCAAAUCAGCCUAU
RNAcentral lists this long non-coding RNA (377 nucleotides) under Bos taurus (domestic cattle). Its description in RNAcentral is "long non-coding RNA NONBTAT007357". The record is from RNAcentral. Lineage: Eukaryota; Metazoa; Chordata; Mammalia; Artiodactyla; Bovidae.